GUGCCAAAAAAAAAAAGUAUUCAAUAUGUCUCUCCACAAACCCUCCAUGAUCAUCAAAAUAUUAUACUGAUGGAAUCCUGAAAAAUUGCCACCAGCUCUCAAAAAAUCUACCACCACCAUAGACACAUAAGAUCAUAAAUUUCGAUAUGAGAAAACCUUUGAUCAUAAAUCAUAUAUCCACAAACCCUCCACCACCAGAAUCUACCACCACCAGACACAUAAAAUCAUGAAUCAUCAUAGAUUAAG
This 246-nucleotide unclassified non-coding RNA is filed under the name Hevea brasiliensis (rubber tree). Lineage: Eukaryota; Viridiplantae; Streptophyta; Magnoliopsida; Malpighiales; Euphorbiaceae. The record is from RNAcentral.